ACUCCAGUCCAGGCAGCCAGCAGGCCCAGGGCUGGUGUGGCCUGGCCGCUUCCUUUGGCAGCUCUCAAAGUCUAGGGGGAGGGGUCCUGGGCCCACCGGGGUCCGUCAGGCCAUCCCUGCGGCCCCACCUGAGAGGACGGCCCUCUUCAUGGAGCUGGGAUCUGACACUGGCUGGUGCCGACAGCAGACACCAGAAGUGACUUUGGGCGUUAGAUGGGGUCUGCUCAGCCCCUGCUGGGUCUGAAGGAUCACAGGACACCUUGCCUUGCCCAGGCCCUGGUCUUCAGUUCCAGGACCCAGCUGGCACUCAGUAUAUUGAGUUGGAUGAAUGAAUGAAGAAAUUUGCCCAUCCAGUCGUUCAACAUUUAUCCAGCACAUUCCAUGUGCACUGCUGUGGGUGCUGGAGAUACAGCAGUGAAUAGACUCUUAAUUGUUGACCAGAAUUUCUCGACCUCGGCACUAUUGACAUUUGAGGCUGGAUAAUUCCUUGUAAUGGAAGGGCAUGUCCUAUGUAUUAUAGGAUGCUUGGCAGCAACUCUGGAAUCCACCCACUAGCACCUGUUCCUGACCCCCAAGGCACCUGGCAAGAUUACCCUUUCUUGCUGCCUUUGAAGUUAAAUGUGACCAUGUGACUGGUCUCAGCCAAUGAAAUGUGAUCAGAAACAAUCGGCAUCACACCUGGGCGGAAGCUUUAAGAGUCAGUGCCGUGGCUGGUAUGGAAGCAAAGGGAAAUCUGCAGUCAUGAGGACAAGCACAGGGACAAGCCGACUCAUGUUAGUAGGAGUCAAAUGCAGAUGAAAAUGUGGAGCAACCAGAACUAGACGCUCCUGAUGAAGUGGUGGUUGGUGGGCAAGAUAGAGCCAUGUGCCAAUAACUCAUCAAAGCGAAGACGCCCGUCAUCUGAGAUCCGGAAAUUCCAGUCCUGCACAUUAUCCCAGAGACACUCUCACCCACAGCUGAUGGAGUCCGUGCAUGAACCAAGGCCUCUCCAUGCGGUAUCUCCACCUUUACAGUAACCCUACAAGGUAGGUAGGUGUUAGCCAACAUGACAAUGCUGCUGCCACUUGAAAUCCACUGGAAUUGGUUGCAUUUAUAGAAAGCAUUGUACCCAUUCCCUAGAUCUGGAGAGGUGAUCAGACCCAGCAUUAUUCACAGUAUUUUCUGAGGAGGACCUGGAGCCCAGAGCGAUAAAGGAAAAGCCACCUAUCACAGUGGGGUGGUUAAAAUAAAACCCAACUUCCAGCCAAGACGGAAGGAGCCAGGGUCCCUCUGUGAAGGAGAUAAACUCGUCUAUCUUACAUUUGGAGUUUGUUUAUUAUGCCAGCUAGUAUUGUCCUUACUAAUACAAUGCCCGGGUCUGUGUGUAGGUUAUUUAACCUCUUCCUUACCUCUUCUGAGAAAUGUAUAUGAUGACAACACCUACUCAGUGGGCAGUUGUAAGGAUUAAAGGAAGUAAUUUUUUUGUUUGUUUUGUUUUUUGGUCUUUUUGCCUUUUCUAGGGCCACUCCUGAGGCAUAUGGAAGUUCCCGGCUAGGGGUCUAAUUGGAGCUGUAGCCACCGGCCUACGACAGAGCCACAGCAACUCAGAAUCCGAGGCGCGUCUGUGGUGUAGUUGGCUGACGUGGCUCAGAUGCCACGUUGCUGUGGCUGUGGCAUAGGCCUGCAGCUGUAGCUCUGAUUCAGCCCCUAGCCUGGUAACCUUCAUAUGCCACAGGUGCAGCCUAAAAAGCAAAAAACAAAACAACAUAAAUGCUAUUAUUAAUCACCCCAUUUGACAGAUGAAGAAACUGAGACACAGAAAAUUAAUUCACCCAAAGCCACAUGUCCAGUAGGUGGCAACUUGAGCCUACAGUCUGAUUCCAGAGUCUGAGCUGCUCACCAGCAUGUUUUACAGCCUCGGAUGCUAUUUGUAAGAGCUGACAGUGUAGCUAAAAGAAUGAAGAUUUGAUGCCAGACAGACUAGAUCUUAAUCCCUUGCUGGGUGAUGUAGGGNNNNNNNNNNNNNNNNNNNNCAGUUUCCCUGUUUAAGACGUGGGAAUAAUACUUUCCAGCUUGAUGCAUUAUUGCAUAGAUUAAAAGAGAGAAAACCUAUACAGUAGCCAGCAUCCUGCCCACUAUAUAGAAGCAGUUCAUAUGGAAAUAAAUUUCUUUCCUCUUCAGAGGUCCACCUUUAUGCUAGAGGCAUAUGAGUCAGAAAAAAAUGGAAAGCAUAGUUCCUGCACUUAAGCAUCUCAUAAUCUUUUUAGGAACAAGAUAAAUCAUCUAUGAAAUAAUCAGAAAAGUUCCAAGGUACAUUUAGUAAAGGAUGGAAUUAAUUGCAAAUGUUAAUAGUUAGUGCAGUUUAUGGCCAGACUCUGGACCUGUGCAGCUGCUGCAGCCCCCCGCCACCCUGACUCCUGGCUGACUCCUGCUAAGCCUUCAGGUUUCAGCUUAGAUACGAGUUUACUCCUCCAGGGUCAAGAGGUCCCUGACCCAUUCUCCUUCACAAAGUCCCUUUGUGCUCCCAUAGUGUCCUAUCCACCCAUGUCACAGCAUUCUGUCUUUGAUUGUUACUGUUUUGUCUGUCUACCCCACCAGACCAGAUACUCCCCAAGACCUGAAGCUGUACUUGAUUUUCCUGCAUCCCCUAGUGCCCAGGAGAAUGCCUUGCGUACCAUGAGCCCCCAGUGGUCACUUGUUGAAGAAAUGAACAGGCAAACAAUGAUUAAUGAAUGCAGAAGGCUUCAGGGUAUCCACAACCUCCCUUUAUAAAAUGGGACAAAAAUAAGGCAAUGGUUUCUGACCUCCAGCUGCCCCAAUCACUGAAGGAACUUAACCAAGUAAAGAUUCUUGGAAUCAUCCCAGGAGAUUCUGAUACACCAGGUCUGGAGUGGAGCCCCCAAAGAUGUCAGCUGAAGAAAGUUUCCCUUAGGCAGCCAGAUUUACAAACUGUUAAACCAUAGGGCCUGAAAUCAAGCUGAGGUGGGAUGAGAAGAUGACGUGGACCGUGGGAAAGGGUGAGGGAGACUAUAUUUUGGGGAAUGAAAAGUGGGAACAGCCAUGCCUGGUGUGUGACAUAGUCCCGCAGAUGACCAGCCUCUGGGGCUUUACCCAACUUUGGGCUCAUCAGCCCUUUAGGGAGACAAAGCACUUUAUAGUUUAUGAUACCUUUUCUCCUUCUUGAGCUCAUGGAAUCCUCACAACAGUUCAUUUGAUAGAUGAAGAAACUGAUCAGAGAUCUGCGCAAAGUGCCCGGCAUUGCACAGCUCUAAGUGGGAAAGCCACUUAACAAAACUGCCUCUGACAACAGCCUCCAAUCUGGCUUGAGGCUGAUGCCAUUAGUCAAAGGAACUAGGCCUAUGUCCCCAGGAAAAAUCAGGCUUAACUGACACUUAGAAGCAGUUAUAUUGCCCUGAAGGAGGAUUGUUGACCAGUGGCCAAGUCACCCCCUGUCCCUUACAGGUACUGCUGUCCCAGCCCAGCCCAUCUCCAUCCAUCCAUCCAUCCAUCUGUCUUUUUAUCCACCCACUCACACAUCACCUCUUUCAUCCGUCCAUCCAUCCAUCCGUCAAAGCAGGCAUCUUUCCAGUUACUCAUUCAUCCACUUACCAUAUCCAUUCACAUUUCUCCAUCCAUCCCAUCCAUCCAUCCCAUCCACCCAUCCAUCCAUCCAUCCAUCUUCUUAUUCAUUCAUUAAAUAAACUUCCAUCAAAUUCUACAUGGGACUAGGCCCUGUGGUAACCUAGAGUCGAACAAAAAGAACCAGACAAACAUAGACCUCACCCUCAAGGAGAUUUGAGAUGCUUAUACAAGUAACAGAUUCCCUAAGAGCCAAAAUAAAGAAUCAGUGGAAGCUUGCUAAAGGCAAAACAAGGGCAGGAAAAUAACAAAGCCAAGAAUUAUGUUAGCACAGAGAUACACACACUAUAGCAUCUUAUCCUCACAGUGGCUAAAGGCACCAUCUCAUUGCUGCUGAACUAGAACCCAGAGCAAAUGCAACAACACAAGAGCCACACUAUACUCAGUGGUGGCAGAUCCUGCCCAACAGCUAUUCCUGCUUCCUUAUGACAUGGCAGGAGACCUUUUCGGUGGGCACAACUGACAGGAGGUGUGCUACUAGCAUCUAUUCAGUUGAAGCCAGGAAAGCUGCUCAACAUCCCACGUUGUGCAGGACAAUCUCCUUACUGCAAAGAAUUAUCCAAGCCAACAUAUCAAUAGUGUCAAAGUUGAGGAACCUCUCAGAAGAGAACCCGAAUUUGGUUUGCAGCAGCAUUGGGCCAGACCCUAAGAAAAGACCAUCCUUGGGAAAGUGCUGGCUUUCCCAUUUCUUUCCACUAGACACUCCCUAGCUUUUCUUGAAUUAAGGAAGCUUGCUGGGAGGUUUCUGGGAAAUUUUUGCUUUUAGAGAAUCAAGUGCUUCCAGGAAAACCCAUUCCAGCUUCAUACACUUAAGUGCAAACCUGAUGCCUGAUGCUGUGACAGCCACCUUGGGUCUGUAAUGGGACAAAUCAACAACCAAAAGCCAACACAGUGAGGAUGGCAGAGAAGGGGGAAGGGAAGAGCAUGGACCUGGCUGGCAAGGCUGACCAGUGUCAUAGGGCUCUUUCUUCCUUUUUUAUUUUGUCUUUUUAGGGCCUCACCCCAGCAUGUGGAGGCUCCCAGGCUAGGGGUCUAAUCGGAGCUAUAGCUGUCGGCCUAUGCCAGAGCCACAGCAACGCCAGAUCCAAGCUGCAUCUUCGACCUACACCACUGCUUAUGGCAAUGCCGGAUCCUUAACUCACUGAGCGGGGCCAGGGAUCGAACCCUCAACCUCCUGGAUCCUAGUCAAAUUCGUUUCCUCUGUGCUAUGACGGGAACUCCAGGGCUCUUCCUUAAAACCUGCCUCAAUUCAUUCAUCCAACAGUGAAUUCUGUGCACUUAUUCUGUGAGCAUUGAGCACUUAUUCUGGGUGAGUCACUGUGUGAGACAUGCAGGGCUGAACAAAGCAUUGAAGUCUGUGGCCUCAUGGAGUUUAGAGUCUAGUGGGGAAGAGAGACGUGACAACGUACAUGACAGUUUGAUCAGAGCAGUGAUGAGAACUACAAAGCAGAGUCCAGUGUGCCAUGGAUGCCCUGCAAGUCCAGGGAAGGGCCGAGUUCACCGUUACCACCACACCAAAGAUCAGCUCAUUAAAGACCAUCCUACCGGCUGCA
This 5171-nucleotide long non-coding RNA is filed under the name Sus scrofa (pig). RNAcentral describes it as "lncRNA (ENSSSCG00005040566.1)". The record is from RNAcentral. Lineage: Eukaryota; Metazoa; Chordata; Mammalia; Artiodactyla; Suidae.